AUGAAUAUCAUGGAGAUGAAAAGAAAUCGGUAACCUUUAAAAAAGAAAGACAAGAUAUAAAAACAAUAACCACUAUAUUGAUUUUCACUUUAUGAAAUAGAGGCGUGACCGAUCUUUUUAACCACUUUUUCUAAAGUAAACGUGAAAAGAGUAUCUAAUUUUGGUGGGAUACGUGCCAACCAAGCCCCUUCAUAGAUUUGCCUCUAUAUGGUAGCCUUUGUAAUGCUAGUCACCACACCUCAACCCAUCUUUGCUAUGCAUCCUCUCUCAAACAUUAUGCAGUAUGCUUGAAAAAAAACACCCAUCUUCUUGCUUGCGUUGGUUAUGAUCAACCAUGUGAUCCUGCUCAAUAUUUAGUAUCAUGGAAACUGUUUUCGUGACUUCGACUAUGAUUCUUACUCAUAGGUGCACAAAUACUACCUUUGAUCAGAUCAUCAGACAGAUUCUGUGAAUAACCAAUACAAGCGAGAGGACUAGUGUUGACAACCAAUUCUUUCAAGCAUGAUGCUCAAGAGGAGUAGCAAAGGUGGGUUAAGGUGUGGUGGCUACCACCACAUAGGCUAGCAUCACCACCACCAAACUAACCACCCCUUUGCAUUUCUGUUCUUCUUCAUCUCCAUCUCACGGCUACUACUAGUCUACUACCAAUAAUACUUUUAUGAGUGCUCCACUGCAAUUCUACGAAGAUGGUUUUAUAGCAGAGUGAAACACCUCAUGGCCACAUAUCUUUCCACUUUCCAGAUAAGGAAUGGAAAAUGUUUCUCCUCUUGCACUUCUCUAGAUCAUUGCGGGUCUACAUAUCUUAUCAUCAGCACUUCAGCAUGUGUUUCAAAUUUUGUGUGAUACAACUAUACAAGAGUUUGUCGAGUUACAUUUCUAUUUUCUUCGUAUAAAUAGGAGCGAGUUUGGUUUCAUAUAGGAAUUAAUAUUUUCUAAAAAAGUAGUAUGUUGUUUGAAGUUUCAUUUUCUAGUAAAUGGUAAAAAGUUGUUUGGUUGA
Beta vulgaris subsp. vulgaris (sugar beet) is the source of this 997-nucleotide long non-coding RNA. RefSeq lists it as uncharacterized. The record is from RefSeq and is a predicted model, not a curated record. The transcript is spliced from 2 exons. Lineage: Eukaryota; Viridiplantae; Streptophyta; Magnoliopsida; Caryophyllales; Amaranthaceae.